UACGUAGGGUGCAAGCGUUGUCCGGAAUUAUUGGGCGUAAAGAGCUCGUAGGCGGUUUGUCGCGUCGGCUGUGAAAACUCGGGGCUCAACUCCGAGCCUGCAGUCGAUACGGGCAGACUUGAGUGCUGUAGGGGAGACUGGAAUUCCUGGUGUAGCGGUGAAAUGCGCAGAUAUCAGGAGGAACACCGGUGGCGAAGGCGGGUCUCUGGGCAGUAACUGACGCUGAGGAGCGAAAGCGUGGGGAGCGAACAGG
RNAcentral lists this ribosomal RNA (253 nucleotides) under uncultured bacterium. RNAcentral's name for it is "partial 16S ribosomal RNA". It matches the Rfam family "Bacterial small subunit ribosomal RNA", at positions 524 to 776 of the family's 1533-position model. The record is from RNAcentral.